Molecule: ribosomal RNA, 253 nt
Filed under: uncultured bacterium
Lineage: Bacteria
Description: partial 16S ribosomal RNA
Rfam family: Bacterial small subunit ribosomal RNA
Source: RNAcentral
UACGGGGGGGGCAAGCGUUGUUCGGAAUUACUGGGCGUAAAGGGCUCGUAGGCGGCCAACUAAGUCGGACGUGAAAUCCCCAGGCUCAACCUGGGAACUGCGUCCGAUACUGGAUGGCUUGAAUUCGGGAGAGGGAUGCAGAAUUCCAGGUGUAGCGGUGAAAUGCGUAGAUAUCUGGAGGAAUACCGGUGGCGAAGGCGGCAUCCUGGACCGAAAUUGACGCUGAGGCGCGAAAGCCAGGGGAGCAAACGGG